Molecule: long non-coding RNA, 1744 nt
Organism: Panthera uncia (snow leopard)
Lineage: Eukaryota; Metazoa; Chordata; Mammalia; Carnivora; Felidae
Exons: 3
Source: RefSeq, a predicted model, not a curated record
CGUUCAAUUUAUGAGAAGUGAAGAAAGCCUCACAAACUAUCCUCUGUCUUGGGGCGUGUUCUGUUUUUAUUUCUUCAGGCAAUUCUUUCUUCAUUAUACUCUUGGUAUUUACACGAGAACUUUACUUGACAGGGCAUCAGGGUCUUUUUCUCUGCAGUUACCCAACCCUCUGCUCUUUGAUGCUGAUCAACAGUAACAGCAGAACUCCCAAACUGUGAGAUGCUCUUACUAGGAUUAAAACCUCUCCACUUAUAAAGUAGUCAUGGAUGUCACACCCAGACUUUUUGUUGCAUCUGAAGAUUCUAUGAGAAGACUCCCAUUUCAAGAAUUCAGAUCUCACACCCACACUAGGACUUUAAGUGGAUGAUAAAGAGCAUGACAAGAACAUGACUUUUAACACACCAGACUGAAAACUGUGUGUGGAGAAGAGGGACAACUGGAGAAAUCACAGAAAGAAUCAACAUGGAAAUUAUUCGUGACAUGUAUGGAAAUAACCUUUUGCCUAUUUGAUUUUUCCUUCAACUUCUAUUCAAGUGGAGUGAAUUUGUUAUCUAAUUUUGAUUUAUUUCUUGGUACCUUUAUUUAUAACUACUAUUUAAGAUAAGUGCUUAAAUUAAUUUACCCUCUUGCUCAUUUAUUUGAGAUUUGUUGCCUUAUUAUCACUUGACUUUCCUGAAAGGUAUGGACAGAAGCUACCCCCAAAAAGUGGAUGUCCCACAAAAUUUUGUUCCACGAAACUGAGUGUCCCACUGCCUCUAGUACAUAAGGACCAGUAUUUUAAAAUGAAUCUUUCUGCCUUAUAUCUGACUCAAGUGUUAUAGAGGGUGGGAAAGAUUCAAUCAUACUUAGUAUUUAUAAGAAAAUGAUUUUUUAAAUGGUUGUAUGAUUCUUGGAGUAUUCAUCCAGAAUAGUUUCAUCCACAUGAAAAAUUAAACAGGUCAGGAGAGUAAAGAGGAGGGGAGAGAAUUUGCAAAUAUUCAUUUGAAAUAAGCAGUAGUCUGAGUCUGAAACCAUCCCCUUCCAACAGGAAAGGGUGUUUUAAAGUACCUGCCCCAUCACAUUAAUAGGUGUGCAGAUGGGAGACUUCAACAGAGCUACUUGGAGAUUUCACUAAUUGCAUAUUUUAGUUGGGAGUGCAGAGAGUGAACCAGGGGCAGAAAAACCAGGAAAUUCUGGGGGAUGAGAAAAGUGCCAAUAGCUUCUACAGUGGUAGAUUCAAGAAGUCUUGGCUGCUGCAAUGUUUUUGAGACAAAUGAUGGAAGAGACUUUCCUGUGUGUUGGAGGAGGGUGGUGGUGAAGGGAGAGUUAGUGCAGGGUUGUCCUGAGUCUAAUCCAUUGGAACCACCAGAGGGACAAAGGGAAAAAGUAGCACGAUGCUGGGAGAGAAUGCUGGAUCUCCAGAAGCUGCAAAAGGUGAUGUAAGCUUCAUGGGAGAUGCACCAGUCCAGGCUGGGGACCCACAGGCCCAUUGUCCCAGUAAGAAGGCUUAUAAGAACCCACCACUUUUCCCAUGAGAGAAGAGUCAGCUCUUCAAACACCUCCCAGGCUCAGAUUGGAAGAGUAAGAACUUUUUUGUGACUCUUUUCCUUCCCCUUUGCAUGGCCCAAACAGGAAGACCCUAUGGCCCUACUGUCAUGCUGGCAGAGAAAGGGUGGGGAGAGAGAGAAGCUGCCCACAGCCCAUCCCUCAAGCACAAGGGGUUACCUGGAAGGAGUGAUAGCUGGUGGAGGACAAGACUGAAUGC